AGCUUUUCUUUGCCUUUUGGCUUAGAUCAUGUGUAGUAUCUGUUCUUGUCAGUUUAAUCGCUGAUAGCCCUGCAUUGCAGGACACACCCGAUUAUCCAAUUUUUAAUACUCGUGACUUGGCCUCUAUGCUUGCAUAUGCCUCGUUGCACUGUGUCACUGGGCUUACACUACCCCCGGUUGAUGCGACCCCUU
This 192-nucleotide small nuclear RNA is filed under the name Penicillium polonicum. RNAcentral describes it as "U2 spliceosomal RNA". It matches the Rfam family "U2 spliceosomal RNA". From Rfam's summary of the family: U2 is a small nuclear RNA (snRNA) component of the spliceosome (involved in pre-mRNA splicing). Complementary binding between U2 snRNA (in an area lying towards the 5' end but 3' to hairpin I) and the branchpoint sequence (BPS) of the intron results the bulging out of an unpaired adenosine, on the BPS, which initiates a nucleophilic attack at the intronic 5' splice site, thus starting the first of two transesterification reactions that mediate splicing. Lineage: Eukaryota; Fungi; Ascomycota; Eurotiomycetes; Eurotiales; Aspergillaceae. The record is from Rfam by way of RNAcentral.